RNAcentral lists this ribosomal RNA (438 nucleotides) under Nemopilema nomurai. RNAcentral's name for it is "partial 16S ribosomal RNA". It matches the Rfam family "Bacterial large subunit ribosomal RNA", at positions 1946 to 2515 of the family's 2925-position model. The record is from RNAcentral. Lineage: Eukaryota; Metazoa; Cnidaria; Scyphozoa; Rhizostomeae; Rhizostomatidae.
CCGUGAUAAAGUAGCAUAAUCACUCGUCAUUUAAUUGGUGACUGGAAUGAAUGGUUACACGAAUCUUUAACUGUCUCAAGAAGAAAGUUCAAUUAAUUUGAAAAAACAGUGAAGAUACUGUUAACAAAAUUGUAAGACGAAAAGACCCUUUCGAGCUUUACUAUAAGCUUAUAGAAAAAAUCUUUAAUAAAAAUAUAAUAAAAACAAACUGUAAGCUAGUUAGUUUGGUUGGGGCGACCACCUCUAAAACAGUAUCAGAGGAAAUCUAAAGGUAUAAUAGUAAUAUUAAUUGCCUUACUGUAUACAAACAAGUUAAUCAGUUACUAUUAUGUAGGAUAUAAUGACCCGUUGAAUUAAUUUCAAAAUUCAACGACCAUGAAAAAAGUUACCGUAGGGAUAACAGGGUAAUAUUAUCAAAGAGUUCAUAUCGAUGAUGAU